CACCUCUUGACAUAAUAUAAGAGGCCCAGCCUGCCCGGUGACAAAGUUUAACGGCUACGGUACCCUGACCGUACGAAGGUAGCAUAAUCACUUGUUCCUUAAAUAGGGACCUGUAUCAACGGCAUCACGAGGGCUGCACUGUCUCCUCUCUUCAAUCAGUGAAACUGAUCCCCCCGUGAAGAAGCGGGGAUUAAGCCAUAAGACGAGAAGACCCCAUGGAGCUUUAAACAAGUACUCACACUAUACUUACACGUCCCUUAACUAAAAGCCCUGAGUACAAGUUUUAGGUUGGGGAGACCGCGGAGAACAAUUAAACCUCCACGACAAACGGCCCUUAAGUCCUUAUCCACGAGCCACAGCUCUAAGAAUCAAUAUACUGAUGAUUAUGACCCGAUACUAUUCGAUUAAUGAACCAAGUUACCCUGGGGAUAACAGCGCAAUCUACUUCAAGAGUCCAUAUCGACAAGUAGGUUUACGACCUCGAUGUUGGAUCAGGGUAUCCUUGUGGUGCAGCAGCUACUAACGGUUCGUUUGUUCAACGAUUAAAACCCU
This is a ribosomal RNA of 552 nucleotides. It matches the Rfam family "Bacterial large subunit ribosomal RNA", at positions 1819 to 2597 of the family's 2925-position model.